This 450-nucleotide ribosomal RNA is filed under the name Oribacterium sinus. Its description in RNAcentral is "bacterial SSU rRNA". It matches the Rfam family "Bacterial small subunit ribosomal RNA", at positions 28 to 480 of the family's 1533-position model. The record is from RNAcentral. Lineage: Bacteria; Bacillati; Bacillota; Clostridia; Lachnospirales; Lachnospiraceae.
GAUGAACGCUGGCGGCGUGCCUAACACAUGCAAGUCGAACGAGAUGCGUAUCGGAAAGCUUCGGCCGGAAGAUAAGUUAUCUAGUGGCGGACGGGUGAGUAACACGUGGGUAACCUGCCUUAUGGAGGGGGAUAACAGAGAGAAAUCACUGCUAAUACCGCAUAAGCACACAGUACCGCAUGGUACAGGGUGAAAAGAUUUAUCGCCAUAAGAUGGACCCGCGUCUGAUUAGCCAGUUGGCAGGGUAAAAGCCUACCAAAGCAACGAUCAGUAGCCGAUCUGGGAGGAUGACCGGCCACAUUGGGACUGAGACACGGCCCAAACUCCUACGGGAGGCAGCAGUGGGGAAUAUUGCACAAUGGGGGAAACCCUGAUGCAGCGACGCCGCGUGAGUGAAGAAGUAUUUCGGUAUGUAAAGCUCUAUCAGCAGGGAAGAUAAUGACAGUACCU